GAUGAACGCUGGCGGCGUGCUUAACACAUGCAAGUCGAACGGUAAGGCCCUUCGGGGUACACGAGUGGCGAACGGGUGAGUAACACGUGGGUGAUCUGCCCUGCACUUCGGGAUAAGCCUGGGAAACUGGGUCUAAUACCGGAUAGGACCACUGCCUGCAUGGGUGGUGGUGGAAAGCUUUUGCGGUGUGGGAUGGGCCCGCGGCCUAUCAGCUUGUUGGUGGGGUGAUGGCCUACCAAGGCGACGACGGGUAGCCGGCCUGAGAGGGUGACCGGCCACACUGGGACUGAGAUACGGCCCAGACUCCUACGGGAGGCAGCAGUGGGGAAUAGUGCACAAUGGGCGCAAGCCUGAUGCAGCGGCGCCGCGUGAGGGAUGACGGCCUUCGGGUUGUAAACCUCUUUCAGCACCGACGAAGCGCAAGUGACGGUAGGUGCAGAAGGAGGACCGGCCAACUACGUGCCAGCAGCCGCAGUAA
RNAcentral lists this ribosomal RNA (478 nucleotides) under uncultured bacterium. RNAcentral's name for it is "partial 16S ribosomal RNA". It matches the Rfam family "Bacterial small subunit ribosomal RNA", at positions 28 to 523 of the family's 1533-position model. The record is from RNAcentral.